CCUACGGGAGGCAGCAGUGAGGAAUAUUGGUCAAUGGGCGCAAGCCUGAACCAGCCAAGCCGCGUGAAGGAUGACUGCCCUAUGGGUUGUAAACUUCUUUUGUAAAGGAAUAAAGUGCGGCACGUGUGCCUUUUUGUAUGUACUUUAUGAAUAAGGAUCGGCUAACUCCGUGCCAGCAGCCGCGGUAAUACGGAGGAUCCGAGCGUUAUCCGGAUUUAUUGGGUUUAAAGGGAGCGUAGAUGGUUUGUUAAGUCAGGUGUGAAAGUUUGCGGCUCAACCGUAAAAUUGCAAUUGAUACUGGCAGUCUUGAGUAUAGUUGAGGUAGGCGGAAUUUGUGGUGUAGCGGUGAAAUGCUUAGAGAUCACGAAGAACACCGAUUGCGAAGGCAGCUUACUAAACUGUCACUGACAUUGAGGCUCGAAAGUGUGGGUAGCAAACAGGAUUAGAUACCCUUGUAGUC
This 460-nucleotide ribosomal RNA is filed under the name uncultured bacterium. RNAcentral's name for it is "partial 16S ribosomal RNA". It matches the Rfam family "Bacterial small subunit ribosomal RNA", at positions 338 to 795 of the family's 1533-position model. The record is from RNAcentral.